This 405-nucleotide ribosomal RNA is filed under the name uncultured bacterium. RNAcentral's name for it is "partial 16S ribosomal RNA". It matches the Rfam family "Bacterial small subunit ribosomal RNA", at positions 30 to 526 of the family's 1533-position model. The record is from RNAcentral.
AUUGAACGCUAGCGGGGUGCUUUACACAUGCAAGUCGAACGAGUGGCGGACGGGUGAAUAAUAUAUCGGAACGUGACCAGUAGAGGGGGAUAACUACUCGAAAGCGUGGAUAAUACCGCAUACUAUUGGGGCGGCCGAAAUGGGAUUAGCUAGUUGGUGGGGUAAAGGCUCACCAAGGCAACAACCCGUAGCUGGUUUGAGAGGAAGACCAGCCACACUGGGACUGAGACACGGCCCAGACUCCUACGGGAGGCAGCAGUGGGGAAUUUUGGACAAUGGGGGAAACCCUGAUCCAGCCAUCCCGCGUGUAUGAGAAGGCCUUCGGGUUGUAAAGUACUUUUGGCAGAGAAGCGGUAUCUGCAGAAUAAGCACCGGCUAACUACGUGCCAGCAGCCGCGGUAAUAC